This 439-nucleotide ribosomal RNA is filed under the name uncultured bacterium. RNAcentral describes it as "partial 16S ribosomal RNA". It matches the Rfam family "Bacterial small subunit ribosomal RNA", at positions 339 to 795 of the family's 1533-position model. The record is from RNAcentral.
CUACGGGAGGCACCAGUGAGGAAUAUUGUACAAUGGGGGGAACCCUGAUGCAGCAACGCCGCGUGGAGGAUGACGCAUUUCGGUGUGUAAACUCCUUUUAUAUGUCAAGAAAAUGACGGUAGCAUAUGAAUAAGCACCGGCUAACUCCGUGCCAGCAGCCGCGGUAAUACGGAGGGUGCAAGCGUUACUCGGAAUCACUGGGCGUAAAGGGCGCGUAGGCGGGUUGGAAAGUCAGGUGUGAAAUCCUACAGCUUAACUGUAGAACUGCACUUGAAACUUCUAAUCUAGAGUAUGGGAGGGGGAGAUGGAAUUAGUGGUGUAGGGGUAAAAUCCGUAGAUAUCACUAGGAAUACCUAAAGCGAAGGCGAUCUCCUGGAACAUUACUGACGCUAAGGCGUGAAAGCGUGGGGAGCAAACAGGAUUAGAUACCCUCGUAGUC